GAUGAACGCUGGCGGCGUGCCUAAUACAUGCAAGUCGAGCGAACGGACGAGAUGCUUGCUUCUCUGAUGUUAGCGGCGGACGGGUGAGUAACACGUGGAUAACCUACCUAUAAGACUGGGAUAACUUCGGGAAACCGGAGCUAAUACCGGAUGAUAUUUUGAACCGCAUGGUUCAAAAGUGAAAGACGGUCUUGCUGUCACUUAUAGAUGGAUCCGCGCUGCAUUAGCUAGUUGGUAAGGUAACGGCUUACCAAGGCAACGAUGCAUAGCCGACCUGAGAGGGUGAUCGGCCACACUGGAACUGAGACACGGUCCAGACUCCUACGGGAGGCAGCAGUAGGGAAUCUUCCGCAAUGGGCGAAAGCCUGACGGAGCAACGCCGCGUGAGUGAUGAAGGUCUUCGGAUCGUAAAACUCUGUUAUUAGGGAAGAACAUAUGUGUAAGUAACUGUGCACAUCUUGACGGUACCUAAUCAGAAAGCCACGGCUAACUACGUG
Molecule: ribosomal RNA, 497 nt
Filed under: uncultured bacterium
Lineage: Bacteria
Description: partial 16S ribosomal RNA
Rfam family: Bacterial small subunit ribosomal RNA
Source: RNAcentral